Molecule: transfer RNA, 73 nt
Filed under: Dallia pectoralis (Alaska blackfish)
Lineage: Eukaryota; Metazoa; Chordata; Actinopteri; Esociformes; Umbridae
Description: tRNA-OTHER
Source: RNAcentral
GGAGUUGGUAGCUCAGUGGUAGACUGCAUGCUUUGUAUGUAUGAUGUCCUGGGUUCAAUCCAGAGCUUCUCCC